RNAcentral lists this ribosomal RNA (408 nucleotides) under uncultured bacterium. RNAcentral describes it as "bacterial SSU rRNA". It matches the Rfam family "Bacterial small subunit ribosomal RNA", at positions 28 to 417 of the family's 1533-position model. The record is from RNAcentral.
AAUCAACGCCGGCGGCGUGCCUAACACAUGCAAGUCGAGCGGGAAAGGGGGCUUCGGCCCCUGAGUAUAGCGGCGGACGGGUGAGUAACACGUGGGUAAUUUGCCCUUGGGUGUGGAAUAACUCAGGGAAACUUGAGCUAAUACCGCAUGACAUCCCCUUCACACACGAGUCGGGGAUCAAAGCCGGGGACCCUUCGGGGCCUGGCGCCUGAGGAGAAGCCCGCGCCCGAUUAGCUAGUUGGUGAGGUAAUGGCUCACCAAGGCUUCGAUCGGUAGCCGGCCUGAGAGGGGCGGACGGCCACACUGGGACUGAGACACGGCCCAGACUCCUACGGGAGGCAGCAGUGGGGAAUUUUUGUCAAUGGGGGAAACCCUGAACAAGCAACGCCGCGUGGAGGACGACGACCU